CUCCUUUUUUUUUCAUUUCUCAAAGUCUGUAUGGAAUUCAAGCAUUAAAUCUCUCUGCCUCUACCCAAUCCAGUCCACACAUAGUCCUCCUUAUUUUAAUCUCUUCCUCUUUCUCCCUGCCAUUUCAUUCUAUUCUUGUAUGUAUUCUUUCCAUUAUAUUACCUAAUCCUUACAUAGGAAGCAUUUCUAUACUGUCUGCUUUACUUCACAGAAUCUCCUCAAUAUGUUUCUAUAGCCUUAGAAGUAGGAAGAUUUUUGUCCUUAUAUGUCAGUACAGACUUUUUUUCCUCCCCAGAAAAAUCUUAAAAGCUAAAAUUUAUCAAGUGAAAAAGAAAUAGUAAUUUUGAAACUGGAAAAUGUUUACUACCUAAUGCCAUUUAACUUAAGCCUAUUCAGUGAUUUCGUGUAUGUGACUUCCAUAAUUAUUAUUUGAAAAAAAAAAGGCAGAAGAAGAAAAGGACAAAAAGAGAGAGUGGGGUAAAGCAGUGUGGGAUAGGAAGAAGAGAAAAAUAUGUGCAUUUGCAUUUGGUUGUUCAAGACUCAAAGCAACUAGGCAUUCACAAGGAGCUAUCCAAAUGUUUAUAGUAGGUUCUACUAUUUAAUGAAAGUAAAACAAACUAAAACCAAAGACUGUAAUUAUGUUUAACAUUUCCAAUUUUUUAAGGAAUAUAAGCCAAAAUGUAUCCAUGUGUAUCCAUGAUUCUAGCUUACUUAGCUCCUGUUUAUGAAAAUGUAUAUCCAGAGAAAAAGUAGUUAUUUUAUGUUACAUUUACUAACAUUUAAGUUCUGUCAUCCCUGUUAAGGAAAUUGGGAAUGGAGACAAUUCCUCAGUAAUCAUACCGAAGUUCCUGCUGCUUCUCUGCCCUUCAAAAGUGAUCCCUGCUGGGAGAUCGAGACCAUCCUGGCUAACAAGGUGAAACCCCGUCUCUACUAAAAAUACAAAAAAUUAGCCGGGCGCGGUGGCGGGCGCCUGUAGUCCCAGCUACUCGGGAGGCUGAGGCAGGAGAAUGGCGUGAACCCGGGAAGCGGAGCUUGCAGUGAGCCGAGAUUGCGCCACUGCAGUCCGCAGUCCGGCCUGGGCGACAGAGCGAGACUCCGUCUC
This 1102-nucleotide long non-coding RNA is filed under the name Homo sapiens (human). RNAcentral describes it as "non-protein coding lnc-KLHL1-11:1". Lineage: Eukaryota; Metazoa; Chordata; Mammalia; Primates; Hominidae. The record is from RNAcentral.